UACGGAGGGUGCAAGCGUUAAUCGGAAUCACUGGGCGUAAAGCGCACGUAGGCGGCUUGGUAAGUCAGGGGUGAAAGCCCACAGCUCAACUGUGGAACUGCCUUUGAUACUGCCAGGCUUGAGUACCGGAGAGGGUGGCGGAAUUCCAGGUGUAGGAGUGAAAUCCGUAGAUAUCUGGAGGAACACCGGUGGCGAAGGCGGCCACCUGGACGGUAACUGACGCUGAGGUGCGAAAGCGUGGGUAGCAAACAGG
RNAcentral lists this ribosomal RNA (253 nucleotides) under uncultured bacterium. RNAcentral's name for it is "partial 16S ribosomal RNA". It matches the Rfam family "Bacterial small subunit ribosomal RNA", at positions 524 to 776 of the family's 1533-position model. The record is from RNAcentral.